RNAcentral lists this ribosomal RNA (1166 nucleotides) under Echeneis naucratoides (whitefin sharksucker). RNAcentral's name for it is "partial 16S ribosomal RNA". It matches the Rfam family "Bacterial large subunit ribosomal RNA", at positions 594 to 2532 of the family's 2925-position model. The record is from RNAcentral. Lineage: Eukaryota; Metazoa; Chordata; Actinopteri; Carangiformes; Echeneidae.
UACCCUCGUACCUUUUGCAUCAUGAAUUAGCCAGUAAAACUAAGCAAAGAGCCCUUAAGUUUAGUACCCCGAAACUAGGUGAGCUACUCCAAGACAGCCUAUUAAAGGGCAAACCCGUCUCUGUGGCAAAAGAGUGGGAAGAGCUUCGAGUAGCGGUGACAGACCUACCGAACCUAGUAAUAGCUGGUUGCCUGAGAAGUGGAUAUAAGUUCAGCCCUGUAAUUUUCUUUCUAAAUUAUAGGAGUUAGUCAAAAGGGGUACAGCCCUUUUGAACCAAGAUACAACUUUAUAAGGAGGGAAUAGAUCAUAAUACUAAAGGUAAAAUGUUUUAGUGGGCCUAAAAGCAGCCACCUAAAUAGAAAGCGUUAUAGCUCAGACAUAAAAUCAAGAUAACAAUUCUCAACCCCCUAACCAUAACAGGCCCUCCCAUGCUAACAUGGGAAUGAUAAUGCUAAUAUGAGUAAUAAGAGAGGACCCUCUCCCUGCCCAUGUGUAUAUCGGAACGGACAAACCACCGACCAUUAACGCCCCCAAACAAAGAGGGCAUUAAACAUCCACUAGAAAACCGUUUAGCGUUAACCCCACACUGGUGAGCAUACAGGGAAAGACUAAAAGAAUGAGAAGGAACUCGGCAAACAAGCCUCGCCUGUUUACCAAAAACAUCGCCUCUUGCAAGAAUAAGAGGUCGCGCCUGCCCAGUGACAAUUAGUUUAACGGCCGCGGUAUUUUGACCGUGCUAAGGUAGCGUAAUCACUUGUCUUUUAAAUGAAGACCUGUAUGAAUGGUAUGACGAGGGCUUAACUGUCUCCUCACUCUAGUCAAUGAAAUUGAUCUUCCCGUGCAGAAGCGGGAAUAAAUACAUAAGACGAGAAGACCCUAUGGAGCUUUAGAUACUAGAAUAGACCAUGUUAAUAAACUCUAAAUUAAAGAAUUGAACCUAAUGGAAUACUAUUUUUAUAUCUUCGGUUGGGGCGACCAUGGGGAAAUAUAAAACCCCCACGUGGAAUAAGAGAACUCUUAAAAACAUAGAGCCACACCUCCAAUUAACAGAACUUCUGACCAAAAAUGAUCCGGCAAUGCCGAUCAACGGACCAAGUUACCCUAGGGAUAACAGCGCAAUCCCCUUUUAGAGCCCUUAUCAACAAGGGGGUUUACGACCUCGAUGU